Molecule: ribosomal RNA, 252 nt
Filed under: uncultured bacterium
Lineage: Bacteria
Description: partial 16S ribosomal RNA
Rfam family: Bacterial small subunit ribosomal RNA
Source: RNAcentral
UACGUAGGGUGCGAGCGUUGUCCGGAAUUACUGGGCGUAAAGAGCUCGUAGGUGGUUUGUCGCGUUGUUCGUGAAAACUCACAGCUCAACUGUGGGCGUGCGGGCGAUACGGGCAGACUGGAGUACUGCAGGGGAGACUGGAAUUCCUGGUGUAGCGGUGGAAUGCGCAGAUAUCAGGAGGAACACCGGUGGCGAAGGCGGUUCUCUGGCCGUAACUGACGCUGAGGAGCGAAAGCGUGGGGAGCAAACAGG